Molecule: long non-coding RNA, 1724 nt
Organism: Cyanistes caeruleus (blue tit)
Lineage: Eukaryota; Metazoa; Chordata; Aves; Passeriformes; Paridae
Source: Ensembl
CUAGAAACUCUUGUACAAAGCUAUUUCAAGCCAUUAGUUGCCCUGUUGUAAUUGAUGGAUUACUGCAUUACCAUUUAAUUUAGUAUUGUUUUCAAGGCAUUACAUUCUGUUUCAUUUAAGUUAAUUGUGUGGCCAAGUAAGGAAAGAACUUGCUUUGUGAGCAUGAGUGAUGCAAGCAUGGAUUCCUCCUGAUUUCAGAGGUAUAAUGGGAUGUGAUCCAUAGAGCAAUUCCAUACAAGGCCCUCCAGUUAGCAUUACCUUCCAAUUUAUGGAAACAAGAAAUGAGGGAAUGGACCAGAAGAUUGCAUGGCAUUUGGAUUCAACAUUGUGAUAGUCUUCUCUGCAAAUGGAAAUUAACAUCAAUUAUUCAAAUCUAGUUAUGCUUUCAACCCUCUUAAUUGCAAAGUGUUUUCCAUUCAGUGAUCAACACCAAUUCCCUAAACAUAAUAGCAAUUAUGACUGUUGCUAUUCAGAGGAAUCCAGAGGAAUCCUCUGAAUAGCAUCCAGAGGACAAUAUACUCUCUUUGGCCCAGUUUUCAGCUCUGAUAUGACCUCUUUAUGUGGCUUUUUACACAGAGGGGUUGUUAAGAUGGAGCAACUGUUUAUUUUUUUGCAUAGAACACAUCCCAGGACUGUUGAGAAGCGUGGGCUAUAACCUUGUUUAUUGACCCAGCAUUAAAACAGGGAAAAUACAAUGGGUGGGAUUCUCCUGCCAGAAUACAACCCCAACAAAGUACAACAAAACUAGACAUAAGUAUCUACUUUAGAUAGAAUUCCUUAAGUACCUGAGACACCUUCACAAGGGCAGAGAAUGGGAUAUAGGACUGAGGAAGAUCCAUGGCAGCUGGAGACAAGGCUGGAGAGUAUGAAAGUUUGGAUAGUAGCAAUAAGGACCCAAUUCUGCCUGGAGAAGCAAAAUUAAUGUUGCCUCAGUGGGUCAGCUUUUCUGCUUACUUCAUUCCUGCUUAUGAGAGUUUUAAUUGCAUGUGCAGGUAAGAUAAAUUCCUGGUCUGAAGUCUAGGCCAAAUUUCUGAUUUGUUUUUAACUCAAAACCUCAUAAAAUGACCACAUGCUGACUCCCUGAUCCAGGGUGUAUCUUCUUGGUAUUUGACAGUUCCCAGGCUCUCUUGAUAUGCCCCUACUGCACAGGGGCACUUGUUCAGAAUUAAUACAAAGUAAUACAAAUGUACUCAUAAAAUUAAUUUGGAAGUACACCCCCUUUGCACAGACUCCCACAAAUGGUUUGAGAAGACAUUUUUUGGAUUUUUGGUAGCAAGCAGCCUAGUUAUGUCAUUUUAUUUUGUGACAGAAAGCAUUUGUGGAAUCUCAGAGGCAGACUCCCAGCUAGCAUAAUUUGCCAUCUCUCCCUUGGAUUGCCACUGUUUUAUUGCAGCUCAAGAAUCUGGCCAUGACUCCUGUUCCACUCUGACUUUUGUGAUUCCUGUGUGCCCCAUAUAUCCCUAUUUUAUUAAACCACACUGAGGAGGAGGGGUGCCUUUCCUUUGUGCCACUCCAGAAAUACAAAACAACUUAAUUGGCCAGAGCAGGCAGGUUUACAGCUGCUUUAUGUUGACAAAAAGGCACAAAGGAGCCAGACAGUACGACUGAAACGAGGUCUGUAGCUCAUAGUGGCAAGAUGUAUAAAGCAGUGUAUGAAUUGUAAAUACAUUUAGAUUUGACAAUAAGUCUUCUCAUAGCCCUUUCCUAGAGCUAGAUGCUCAUAU